GACGAAGGCACGAAGCAAGCAAAAAGAUUUUCUUGUUCCCCUGUUAGCUUUCCCUAGUUUUUCUUUUUAUUAUUAAGUUUAUCAUGAUUGUUAGUUAAAUUAACAGAGAGAGGGUUUUGGAAGGUUAAACUAAGGAUGCAUUCAAUUUAAGAAGUGGCACAAUAGGGCACAACAGAGACAUUGACUUUUAAUAACUGUUUGCAAUGAAAAACCGGCUAUGAUCACACAUGAGAAGAUGCACCCGAAGAAUAACAUAGCUCAUUAUUGUCCAAAUAAAUGAUCAAGAACAAAAAAAUACUGUUAAGUUAAAGAUAAAAUCUUAUCAUGGGGCAUAUGAUCCCACAUAAAUUUUGUCAUUUGUCAUGGGGCAUACUAUCACUGAUUCUCAACCCCACAAAACACAAGAAGUAAAAAGGUAAAAUGUUUCAUACAAAACAAAUGAUUCCACUACUUGAGGGAAAUUGGGGUUGGGGGGAUGAAGAUGGCUAUUUUGGCAACUGAAGACAAUGCAAAAGAAGCAGAAGUAAAAAGGUAAAAUGUUUC
Molecule: long non-coding RNA, 543 nt
Filed under: Solanum tuberosum (potato)
Lineage: Eukaryota; Viridiplantae; Streptophyta; Magnoliopsida; Solanales; Solanaceae
Description: long non-coding RNA (STUB_LNC006860)
Source: RNAcentral